CCAUCGCCAUUUCUAUUUUUUUAAGCGCCUAGAUCUUUUGCGGUAUGAAAAAGGAGUUAUACGGAGUUCAAAUCAGAUCCAUGUUGAGCAGAUUAUAUACGCCAGGCAACAGUACCUCCAGAUCUACCUCGGUAAUGUCAUCCUGUCCAUGACCAUGGAUAUCACUGUUUUGUUAUUCUACCUCCUAUCCUCUUUACCCUCCGAUAUCAAAUCACCGUCUGUAUAAUCCAUACUAUAUAUAUUCGCACAUCGUGAUACACACUCAGCACAUGCAACCGGUAUCAAACACAAAUUUCCACACAUACACAAGCACCACAGGCACAAACAUCUCCCACGAUGCCUCUACCCCCCACCCUCCUUAAAGGCAGUUGCCUCUGCUCCAAAACCUCCUUUACCUCCACAAAAUUACCCCUCUGCCUCACCCAUUGCCACUGCAUCCCCUGCCGCAAACUCUCAGGAGGGCCUUUCACAACCUGGGCAGAUUUUCCCAGCAAUGCCAUAAGCUGGACGCCCCCUGCAGCUGCUACUGCAGCUCCUAUUGCAACAUCUACGACUUCGUCUACUAGUGGCAACCCUGAAGCCCCUGCCUGCGGCAAUGGAAUGCCUACACUAAGACGCUCAAGCAAAAUCGCCACGCGCGGGUUUUGUGAAUCAUGUGGUUCGACGGUUUCUAUGCAGUAUGAUAUGGACCCGGAUGUUUUGGGGGUGGCAGUGGGUUUAAUCGAUGAAGAUUGUCACGGAGAUGUUGGGGCGGUGUUGGAGAUAUUACCGCAGAAACAUAUAUUUCUGAAAGACAAAGCGCGGUGGUUUAAAGUCGAGAAGGGCAGCGUGGGCGAGGCGAGUG
Molecule: small RNA, 844 nt
Filed under: Histoplasma capsulatum
Lineage: Eukaryota; Fungi; Ascomycota; Eurotiomycetes; Onygenales; Ajellomycetaceae
Also listed under: 1 other name
Description: hypothetical RNA
Source: RNAcentral